AUGAAGAAACAGGAGCGAAGCCGAAUCGUGGGCCGGCCCAAGUGGAAGCCACAGGGUUGCUCGCUCUCAGCGAAGCAGCAAAGAUUUGACGCUAACGAGUGUCAUAUAGGAAUCGCCAGAAAUGGGAACUCCUAUUGGACGCUCGCUGCGGCAAGCAGUCGGCGUUUCGCACACAGGCAGCUUGGCUGGGCCGGCCCAUGUUGCGGGUGCGCCACAUUCGCUAGCCUCGACAAGUCGACGCAGCGAGCGUCCAAUAGGAUUUUCCCGCAGCAGGCGCAACAGUACCUCCGGCCGCCGCUGCCCGGCCGGCUGGCGCGGCGGCGCCUGACUGAAAUUCCCCUGCAAACCGCAGAUUCCGUUCGCUCCUUAUUCCUUCUCAGGGAGCUGAAGGACAUUCCAGGAUCUGCUCAUAACGAUGGGCCAACCCUUAAUGACUUGCUUGACCUGGCAGACAACAAAACUUUCUGGUUUCACAUGGCCUUGGCCCUUGUGGAAUCUCUGAGUGAUUUUGCGGACUCUGUAGCUGUCAAGGCAGAAAUCAUAUUUCAGAGCUUCCAUCUGUGGGGGCAAUUGCAGUUGAGGUGCAAGUUGGGCAAUGAAAGAUGCCUAAGCCAUCUCUAUAUCAAAGUUAAAGAUGCCCCUCAAGCCAUACAAGAUCCAACCCAGCCUUGCCUCCGAAGCUCUGAAACACCAGCAACCCUGAUGGCGCAAAUGGAGCAGCGAGGAUCAACGAACAUGACCAAGGCGCUGGAAGCUCUUUCGCCGUGGCUCGAAAACCCACGGAGCAUUGUCAAUCAAGUGGAGGCGCUCGUCCUCGCCGCGGCUGUGCUCCUGCUCUUCCAGCUCAUCCUCUGUUCCUGCAGGCGGCAGUCGAGCAACGCUUUUAUCCAGGCCGGCGCGUGGGUGUCCUACACCAUGUCGUUCCCUUUGGUCACCUACACAUUGGGCAUGAUGCAGACUUCCCCGUAA
RNAcentral lists this ribosomal RNA (969 nucleotides) under Triticum aestivum (bread wheat). RNAcentral's name for it is "partial small subunit ribosomal RNA". Lineage: Eukaryota; Viridiplantae; Streptophyta; Magnoliopsida; Poales; Poaceae. The record is from RNAcentral.